This is a long non-coding RNA of Cyprinus carpio (common carp), 1915 nucleotides long. Lineage: Eukaryota; Metazoa; Chordata; Actinopteri; Cypriniformes; Cyprinidae. The record is from Ensembl.
UGACAUUUUUAAUGCAUUUAAAUCUUUUAAUAUGUUAAAAGUGAAUAUAAACAUGACAGUGACCUUUAUAAAACAUACUCAUAAUACUCAUAAUGCUGUAACAGGGCAGCAUCAUAGAGAGGCCAUGUUUCCCAGGAAGCUUCCAGCCCAGUCUAGGCCAACAUAGAUGUGAGGUGUGCCCUGCCCACUUUUUCUGUCAUGAAAACGGUAUGAAUGAUAUUUGCAACAAAUUAAUGGAUGAAAUAUAUAUCUCUUCUUUAUGCCUUUACAGUACAUAAGGAUGUUUUUCUUGUAACUAGGUAUGACGCAACCAUUCCCAUGUCAGCCUGGAUUUUAUUGUCCAGUUGGGGCAUCUAAUCAGCAUCCAUGUCCUCCAGGGAGUUAUGGGAACCUGUCUGGAUUGGCCGAGUCUUCUGAAUGCUCUCAAUGUGACCCUGGGACCUAUUGUAUGGGGUCAGGAAAUGUGUCACCAACUGGCUCUUGCAGUGCUGGAUUCUUGUGUUUUGGAGGAGCCGUCCUUCCCUCCCCAAAUGAUAAUGAGACUGGAAUACUGUGUGCAACUGGGUCUUACUGUCCAGCUGGAAGUUUUGCAGGAAUACCUUGUCCCAAGGGCACAUUUAGCAAUCAGCGUCAAUUGUCAGAUGUAAGUCAAUGCCAAAACUGCACACCAGGGUUUUAUUGCUCAGAGCCAGGCCUGACCACAGUCAGUGGACCCUGCUUGCCAGGGUUUUUCUGCAGUGAAGGAUCUCCGACUUCAGCUCCUGUGUCAGCCGUGUAUGGUGAUAUUUGUCCUCCAGGUCACUAUUGUGAAAUUGGUAGUGCUGUGCCAACUCCCUGUCCAGUGGGCAGCUGGCACCCUGAUAGUGGGGGAAAGGGCACAGAUGAUUGCAUGCCUUGCCCUGGAGGUACUGUGUUACUCCAUUUUAGAGAUAUACUGUAUGCUCCUUUGACUUUAUAUAGCUCCAUUUUAGCGAAAUUUACUUUAGUUAGGAAGUUACUACCAUUUCUAGAAGAGGUCAAAUGCAAAAAUCAUUUGUACUCAUGGGUCUUUUUAUGUAUUGCUGUUGUUGUUUGAUCGCAGGUCAGUUUCAGGAUCAGAAGGGACAGAGUGAGUGUAAACCCUGUCCUCCAGGUUUCUAUUGCAUCAACCUCACAAAAGGUUUUAUGGGGGUCAGCACUCCUUUGGUCUGUCCUGAAGGCUUUUACUGCCCCAGUGAGACUCAGUCUGGAAACCCAGUUCCAUGUCCCAAAGGCACAUACAGUGAUUCUCUUGGCCUCAUUUCAGCAGGUGAUUUAUUCAGUUCUGUAUUGCAAUAACUGAGCAAGUGAACAUGAUUUAAAUGCAUUCUUCUGUUUAUAUCUUGUUUACUGGGUUUGUUUUUUGUAUAAAUGCAGAGCAGUGCCUGGUGUGCCCUAUGGGACAUUUCUGCGGUUCAGAUGGACUCUCUGAGCCCUCGGGGCCCUGUGCCCCUGGAUUCCUCUGUUUUGUGCAGGCCACAGUUCCCAACCCCACUGACAACAGCACUGGCACUUUGUGUCCACCGGGGGCAUACUGCCUUCUGGGAACAAGAGCAGGUGCUCUUUGGAACAGUGUUAUUUUAGUAUUAUUUAUACAAUAUUGUACGAUUUAUUAAUAUUUUUAAUUUGUAUAUUUUCUCUUUUUAAUUUUUAGCAAUUAUUUUAUGUGCUUUUGUCAUUUUUAUUCUUUUUUGUUGCUUUUAAAUAUUUGCGUUUAGCUUUCAUUUACAUUUUAGUUUUAGCAAUUUUUGUACAUUCAAUUUUUAUUUCAGCUUUUCAUUUAAUAUAUGUAUUUCAUUUCAGUUUCAUUUAAAUGAAUGAACCAUUUUAGUUUUAGUUAACAAUAACAACACUAUGGAGGAGUCUUCAGGGUUUUCAUUAGGGUAUUCAACCUUUA